Molecule: long non-coding RNA, 352 nt
Filed under: Nicotiana benthamiana
Lineage: Eukaryota; Viridiplantae; Streptophyta; Magnoliopsida; Solanales; Solanaceae
Description: long non-coding RNA (NBEN_LNC007319)
Source: RNAcentral
CUAUGCUAAUAGAAUAAUUAAAAAAGACUUAUUCCCUAAAUGACUACUCUAACUUUGUCCAAAAAAACUGGAAUACGAAUGAGAUCCACAAUGCCAUCAUUGUAUGGCCGAUAGUAGUACAGUAAAUGACGCCUUCCUCUUCAGCGCCACGCAUAAUUGGCUCGCGUAAAGGCAGAAGAAAGAAAGCCCGAACGAAAGAAAGCUGACCAGGAGUGCCAAACCACUCUAGUAUCUUCACCCUUGCACCCCCUAUGCUAUUAUACUUUCCCGAACGAAAGAAAGCUGACCAGGAGGUGCCAAACCACUCUAGUAUCUUCACCCUUGCACCCCCUAUGCUAUUAUACUUGGACUA